This 521-nucleotide ribosomal RNA is filed under the name uncultured bacterium. Its description in RNAcentral is "bacterial SSU rRNA". It matches the Rfam family "Bacterial small subunit ribosomal RNA", at positions 8 to 518 of the family's 1533-position model. The record is from RNAcentral.
AGAGUUUGAUCAUGGCUCAGGAUGAACGCUAGCUACAGGCUUAACACAUGCAAGUCGAGGGGCAGCAUGAACUUAGCUUGCUAAGUUGAUGGCGACCGGCGCACGGGUGAGUAACGCGUAUCCAACCUGGCCCUUAGUAGGGGAUAGCCCGGCGAAAGUCGGAUUAAUACCCUAUGUUCUUCGAUGCGGACAUCUAAUUUGAAGCAAAGGUUCACCGCUAAGGGAUGGGGAUGCGUCCGAUUAGGUAGUAGGCGGGGUAACGGCCCACCUAGCCUUCGAUCGGUAGGGGUUCUGAGAGGAAGGUCCCCCACAUUGGAACUGAGACACGGUCCAAACUCCUACGGGAGGCAGCAGUGAGGAAUAUUGGUCAAUGGCCGAGAGGCUGAACCAGCCAAGUAAGCGUGCAGGACGACGGCCCUAUGGGUUGUAAACUGCUUUUAUCAGGGGAUAAAGUGAGGGACGUGUCCCUUUUUGUGGGUACCUGAUGAAUAAGGACCGGCUAAUUCCGUGCCAGCCGCUGC